GGUCGAGUAGCUCAGUCGGCAGAGCGUCCGCCUGAAAAGCGGAAGGUCCCCGGAUCGACGCCGGGCUCGACCACCA
RNAcentral lists this transfer RNA (76 nucleotides) under Acidimicrobiia bacterium. RNAcentral's name for it is "tRNA-Phe". It matches the Rfam family "tRNA". Rfam says of the family: Transfer RNA (tRNA) molecules are approximately 80 nucleotides in length. Their secondary structure includes four short double-helical elements and three loops (D, anti-codon, and T loops). RNAcentral also lists the same sequence under 5 other names. The record is from RNAcentral. Lineage: Bacteria; Bacillati; Actinomycetota; Acidimicrobiia.